GUGCAAUAUAGUUGGUUGUGGAAGCUGGCGAAUGUCACGCAAAGCCCCUACUCGUACAUCUGGUCAAACGAAUCUAAUGCACCAGAACUGGUCAAUGGAC
This 100-nucleotide microRNA precursor is filed under the name Aedes aegypti (yellow fever mosquito). RNAcentral describes it as "partial AAEL017969-RA". The record is from RNAcentral. Lineage: Eukaryota; Metazoa; Arthropoda; Insecta; Diptera; Culicidae.